RNAcentral lists this ribosomal RNA (90 nucleotides) under Bursaphelenchus vallesianus. RNAcentral describes it as "partial 28S ribosomal RNA". It matches the Rfam family "Eukaryotic large subunit ribosomal RNA", at positions 1 to 89 of the family's 3401-position model. The record is from RNAcentral. Lineage: Eukaryota; Metazoa; Nematoda; Chromadorea; Rhabditida; Aphelenchoididae.
AACCACCUGAGUUACGUAUGAUUACCUGCUGAACUUAAGCAUAUCAGUAAGCAGAGGAAAAGAAACAAACNUGGAUUCCCUUAGUAACGG